UACGGGGGGGGUAAGCGUUGUUCGGAAUUACUGGGCGUAAAGGGCUCGUAGGCGGCCAACUAAGUCAGACGUGAAAUCCCUCAGCUUAACUGGGGAACUGCGUCUGAUACUGGAUGGCUUGGAUCCGGGAGAGGGAUGCGGAAUUCCAGGUGUAGCGGUGAAAUGCGUAGAUAUCUGGAGGAACACCGGUGGCGAAGGCGGCAUCCUGGACCAAUAUUGACGCUGAGGUGCGAAAGCGUGGGGAGCAAACAGG
RNAcentral lists this ribosomal RNA (253 nucleotides) under uncultured bacterium. RNAcentral describes it as "partial 16S ribosomal RNA". It matches the Rfam family "Bacterial small subunit ribosomal RNA", at positions 524 to 776 of the family's 1533-position model. The record is from RNAcentral.